AUGGUUUGGUUAAAUAAAAAAAAAUAAAAAUAAAUAAAAAUAAAAAUCUGUUCUUAUCAGUUUAAUAUCUGAUACGUCCCCCAUCGGGGGACUACAUAUUAAAUGGAUUUUUCGAACAGGGAGUCGGAAAUGGGGCUUGCUCCGUCCGCUCCACGCAUCGACCCGGUAUUGCAGUACCUCCGGAACGGUGCAACACUU
RNAcentral lists this small nuclear RNA (198 nucleotides) under Salmo salar (Atlantic salmon). RNAcentral's name for it is "U2 spliceosomal RNA (ENSSSAG00000100597.1)". It matches the Rfam family "U2 spliceosomal RNA". From Rfam's summary of the family: U2 is a small nuclear RNA (snRNA) component of the spliceosome (involved in pre-mRNA splicing). Complementary binding between U2 snRNA (in an area lying towards the 5' end but 3' to hairpin I) and the branchpoint sequence (BPS) of the intron results the bulging out of an unpaired adenosine, on the BPS, which initiates a nucleophilic attack at the intronic 5' splice site, thus starting the first of two transesterification reactions that mediate splicing. The record is from RNAcentral. Lineage: Eukaryota; Metazoa; Chordata; Actinopteri; Salmoniformes; Salmonidae.